RNAcentral lists this ribosomal RNA (468 nucleotides) under uncultured bacterium. RNAcentral describes it as "partial 16S ribosomal RNA". It matches the Rfam family "Bacterial small subunit ribosomal RNA", at positions 28 to 507 of the family's 1533-position model. The record is from RNAcentral.
GACGAACGCUGGCGGCGUGCUUAACACAUGCGAGUCGAACGGAAAGGCCCUGCUUUUGUGGGUUGCUCGAUUGGCGAACGGGUGAGUAACACGUGAGUAACCUGCCCUUGACUUUGUGAUAACUUCAGGAAACUGGGGCUAAUACCUGAUAGAAGCUCCUGCUGCAUGGGGGUGGUUGGAAAGUUUCGGCCGUUGGGGAUGUACUCGCGGGUUAUCAGCUUGUUGGUUGGGUAGUGGCUUACCAAGGCUUUGACGGGUAGCCGGCCUGAGAGGGUGACCGGGGACCUUGGGACUGAGAUAGGGACCAGACUCCUACGGGAGGCAGCAGUGGGGAAUCUUGCACAAUGGGCGGAAGCGUGAUGCAGAAACGCCGCGUGCGGGAUGACGGGUUUCGGGUUGUAAACCGCUUUCGCCUGUGACGAAGCGUGAGUGACGGUAAUGGGUAAAGAAGCACCGGCUAACUACGUG